CGUCGUCAAGGGCUCCUUGUUGAACGUAGCGAAGUGUUCUUAUGGGCAGGGGGGCAUGGCCCCCCUACCUCCCUCUACCUCGCUCGCACAAAUUGCUCUAUGAGACACAGGCGAGGCCAGCGCGCCCCGCCGUCGCUACACGUCGUCGAGCAUGGAAUUCGACCUCCCCCGCUCCAGAGACGACAUCGACAUUCACCGGUCGAGCUUCCCCGUUUGAGCUCAUAUAAGAGAAAAUUGCUUCCUGGAGGCUUCAGUUCGAGGACCCUGCCGAAGAAGUUUACAACCUGCUGGGCAAGUAGGCCAAAAUCUUCGACGCUCCGCUUACUGAUACUGAUCCAAGCCCUGACGAAGCACCCAGUGCAUGCCUGCCGCAGUGGCAAGGUUGCUUAGUACUGUAGAUGAUUCCUCUAUAGUUCUUGUUUCUCUUGGUGUUUUCAUUUCCCAGUGUCAAGAACUCAAGAUGCAAUGUGUUAGUGUGGAACCCCAGGGGGCUUAACUCCCUGGCUAGAAGAGGUGUUGUGAGUUCCUUGGUUAGUGUCAACUGUCAAUUCUACUAUUGUCUGUAUGCAAGAAUCGAAGCUCGGUGUUGUUGAUUA
Molecule: long non-coding RNA, 596 nt
Organism: Lolium perenne
Lineage: Eukaryota; Viridiplantae; Streptophyta; Magnoliopsida; Poales; Poaceae
Source: RefSeq, a predicted model, not a curated record